GAAUUCUCAAGGCAGCGUGAGAGCAAAGCACCUGACGGGGAGAACGGAGGACACCGAGGACAGCCUCAGACAUGUACCUCGGGUGGCCGGGGCCGGCCCUCAUGGUGCCCGUCCACACAGAGCAAGCCUCAGGAGGCAAGCGAUGGAAUGCUGUGGUUGAGCUCCGCUGGCUUUGAUGCUUGUCUCCAUGAAAGCGUGCGCACUUCUGUUUUCAGUUCGGGGCUGAAACAAACACUGCAGGGAUGAGUGCUGCUGUGCUGACCCCUGCGGCAUGGGUCCACGCGGCUCUGUUGGGAACACGCUUGCUGG
Molecule: long non-coding RNA, 309 nt
Organism: Lutra lutra (Eurasian river otter)
Lineage: Eukaryota; Metazoa; Chordata; Mammalia; Carnivora; Mustelidae
Exons: 3
Source: RefSeq, a predicted model, not a curated record